This 540-nucleotide small RNA is filed under the name Histoplasma capsulatum var. duboisii H88. Its description in RNAcentral is "Histoplasma capsulatum H88 hypothetical RNA". Lineage: Eukaryota; Fungi; Ascomycota; Eurotiomycetes; Onygenales; Ajellomycetaceae. The record is from RNAcentral.
CACUGUGAGAUAUAGAUUAUUGAGAAAGCUGAGAUUGUUUGAUAAAAGAUUGGUUUGAUUGAUCUGAUAUCUGACUGUGAAGCUGCUGUUGGCCUAUACCUUGGGUCGAGUUUCAUAAUAUUCAAGACAAACCCGUUGUCCCCAUGGAAUCUCUCUCGCCAAGUAGCGAGGGAGAAGAGCUUCAAUUUUUCAGGUCGCACAUCUGAAUGACGAGUGACAGGAUUUUCAAAGUCUCCAUAUCAGCAAGGUGAGCAUGUGGCUGUGAGUACCGUCCAAAAUAGAGUUGGAUACUUUGCAAAGAUCUCAAUUUCAUAGCCAUUGUAUCCUCAAGGAGCUAUCGGUUGGAAUAUGAAGAGAAUGCACCCCCAGGUCACGGAUAUGACCCGUUGAUGAGACAGUCAGCAUCAGAGUUUUUCAGGGGCCAGGGUUCUAAUAGCUCCUAUCAUCCCAAAUGACCAACUGUCAGUUGACGAAGCUCUCAACUAAUUUUUUGUCUAUAUUUUUGUACCUUUUAUCUCACCUGUUUUCCAGAAUAUAACC